This 253-nucleotide ribosomal RNA is filed under the name uncultured bacterium. Its description in RNAcentral is "partial 16S ribosomal RNA". It matches the Rfam family "Bacterial small subunit ribosomal RNA", at positions 524 to 776 of the family's 1533-position model. The record is from RNAcentral.
UACGUAGGAUGCAAGCGUUGUCCGGAAUUAUUGGGCGUAAAGAGCGCGCAGGCGGUAUGACAAGUCAGAUGUGAAAGAGGCCGGCUUAACCGGCAAGGGUCAUUGAAACUGUCAGACUAGAGUGCAGCAGAGGAUAGUGGAAUUCCCGGUGUAGUGGUGAAAUGCGUAGAUAGUCGGAAGGAACACCUGUGGCGAAAGCGGCUCACUGGACCAUUACUGACGCUGAUGCACGAAAGCUAGGGGAGCAAACAGG